This 459-nucleotide ribosomal RNA is filed under the name uncultured bacterium. Its description in RNAcentral is "partial 16S ribosomal RNA". It matches the Rfam family "Bacterial small subunit ribosomal RNA", at positions 338 to 795 of the family's 1533-position model. The record is from RNAcentral.
CCUACGGGAGUCAGCAGUGAGGAAUAUUGGUCAAUGGGCGAGAGCCUGAACCAGCCAAGUCGCGUGAAGGAUGACGGCCCUACGGGUUGUAACUUCUUUUGUCAGGGAGCAAUUGGGUCCACGCGUGGGCUUAUCGAGAGUACCUGAAGAAAAAGCAUCGGCUAACUCCGUGCCAGCAGACGCGGUAAUACGGAGGAUGCGAGCGUUAUCCGGAUUUAUUGGGUUUAAAGGGUGGUAGGGCGGAAUAUCAAGUCAGCGGUAAAAAUUCGGGGCUCAACCCCGUAGUGCCGUUGAAACUGAUGUGCUUGAGUGGGCGUGAGGUAUGCGGAAUGCGUGGUGUAGCGGUGAAAUGCAUAGAUAGCACGCAGAACUCCGAUUGCGAAGGCAGCAUACCGGCGCCCAACUGACGCUGAAGCACGAAAGCGUGGGUAUCGAACAGGAUUAGAGACCCUAGUAGUC